RNAcentral lists this ribosomal RNA (426 nucleotides) under Macroscytus brunneus. Its description in RNAcentral is "partial 16S ribosomal RNA". The stretch from base 1 to 168 matches the Rfam family "Archaeal large subunit ribosomal RNA", at positions 1896 to 2102 of the family's 2987-position model. Lineage: Eukaryota; Metazoa; Arthropoda; Insecta; Hemiptera; Cydnidae. The record is from RNAcentral.
UUAACAAAAACAUGUCUUAUUGUUUUAAAUUAUAUUAAGUCAGGCCUGCUCAGUGAUUAUAUAGAAUUAAAUAGCCGCAGUAAUUUGACUGUGCGAAGGUAGCAUAAUCAUUUGUCUUUUAAUUGAAGGCUUGUAUGAAUGGUUUGAUGAAACUCUGACUUUCUUCACUGCAAAGAUUAGAAUUUAAUAUUUGAGUUAAAAAGCUUAGAUAUUUCCAUAGGACGAGAAGACCCUAUAGAAUUUUACUAUAUAUUUAAUAUUAUUUAUUUUAGGUAUUUUAUUUUUAAGAAUUUUAGAUUAUAGUUGUGUUGGGGUGACAAAGAAAUUAAUUUAACUUUCUUUAUUAUUUGAUUUUAAUGAUUUUUAUAUUAAUGAUCCUUUAUUAUGGAUAGUAAGAUUAAAUUACCUUAGGGAUAACAGCGUAAU